UACAGGGGGUGCAAACGUUGCUCGGAAUCAUUGGGCGUAAAGCGCACGUAGGCGGUUCGUUAUGUCGGAUGUGAAAGCCCUUGGCUUAACCGAGGAAGUGCAUCCGAAACUGGCGAGCUAGAGUACGAAAGAGGAUCGCGGAAUUCCCGGUGUAGAGGUGAAAUUCGUAGAUAUCGGGAGGAACACCGGUGGCGAAGGCGGCGAUCUGGGUCGAUACUGACGCUGAGACGCGAAAGCGUGGGGAGCAAACAGG
Molecule: ribosomal RNA, 253 nt
Filed under: uncultured bacterium
Lineage: Bacteria
Description: partial 16S ribosomal RNA
Rfam family: Bacterial small subunit ribosomal RNA
Source: RNAcentral